AUGUCGUCCAACAGAACCGACCGCGAGAAAUCCUGCUGCGGCAGCCUGUUCACCUUCCUCGUCGCUGCCGGCUUCGUCAUCCUCAUCUACUGGGCCAUCUUCCAGCCGCACCACAUCCGCGCGACGGUCAGCUCCGCCACGCUCACCAACCUCACCGUGGCCCCCGACAACGCCACCGUCUCCUACCGCCUCACCGUCGGGCUCGAGCUCUACAACCCCAGCCUCCGCGUCCCCAUCUACUACGACGCCCUCGACGCGGAGCUCCGCGCCAGCGGCGGGGCCUCCCUCGGCGGCCCCGCUGCCCGCGUCGCCUCGUCGCCGGCGGAGUUCCUGCAGCGCAGGAAGAGCGCCGACACGGUCAGGCUGGAGUUCGACGGGAGCAGCGGCGUCGGCGUCCCCGACGACGUCGCCAGGGAGCUGGCGAGGGAGGCGGGCGUGGGGUCCGUCAGCUUUGAGGUGGACGUGGAUGCGCGGGUGCGCUACAGGUUCGCCAGCAUCAAGAUCCGCCAGAAGCCGAGGAUUUGGUGCUGGCUCACGGUUCCGGUCAAGCCGGAGGGUGGCCUCCGUUUCGGCGGCGCUCUGGCCUCCGGCGACCGCUGUAGCGUUAAGUACUGA
Molecule: ribosomal RNA, 615 nt
Filed under: Triticum aestivum (bread wheat)
Lineage: Eukaryota; Viridiplantae; Streptophyta; Magnoliopsida; Poales; Poaceae
Description: partial small subunit ribosomal RNA
Source: RNAcentral